RNAcentral lists this ribosomal RNA (49 nucleotides) under Porpidia degelii. RNAcentral's name for it is "partial 28S ribosomal RNA". Lineage: Eukaryota; Fungi; Ascomycota; Lecanoromycetes; Lecideales; Lecideaceae. The record is from RNAcentral.
CAACGGUUGACCUCGGAUCAGGUAGGGAUACCCGCUGAACUUAAGCAUA